Molecule: long non-coding RNA, 468 nt
Organism: Lethenteron reissneri (Far Eastern brook lamprey)
Lineage: Eukaryota; Metazoa; Chordata; Hyperoartia; Petromyzontiformes; Petromyzontidae
Source: RefSeq, a predicted model, not a curated record
UCUCUUCUAGGGGGCGGGCAGCGAUACGGAGGAAGAGUGGCAGACAGCCGAAGAGGGGGAGACAGCUGAAGAGUGACAAAUGAUGGAGAAGUGGGAGGAUGGGGACAUGGAGAAGGAGGAAUGGGAGGGGAUGGAGGAUACUUGAGGUGGUGGUGGAGGAGACGGUGGAUAAUCAGAGAUGGAGGAGCUGGAGGUGGUAGAGGAGCUUGAGAUGGUAUAGGAGGAGCUGGAGGUGGUGAAGGAGACAGAUGGCGAUGGUGGAGCAGGAGACGGAGGAGCUGGAGCCCCACCCAAAGCAGCUGUUGGGAGAGCUGAGCAGGGAGGUGACCCGGACUGCGACCAUCAACCGUCCAGUGCGCGCAUGCCCCUCGUCAGCAAUUCGCCCGAAGGGCAAUAUCUUGGUCAAGGACCCCAUGGCUGGGACCGUGCGGGUAACAGACUUUGGUUGCAGCUUCCAUGAGACUUCUC